This 423-nucleotide ribosomal RNA is filed under the name uncultured bacterium. Its description in RNAcentral is "bacterial SSU rRNA". It matches the Rfam family "Bacterial small subunit ribosomal RNA", at positions 355 to 775 of the family's 1533-position model. The record is from RNAcentral.
UGAGGAAUAUUGGUCAAUGGACGCAAGUCUGAACCAGCCAUGCCGCGUGAAGGAUGAAGGCGUUCUGCGUUGUAAACUUCUUUUAUCUGGGAAGAAACCUCAGUUUUCUAAUUGAGCCGACGGUACCAGAGGAAUAAGCACCGGCUAACUCCGUGCCAGCAGCCGCGGUAAUACGGAGGGUGCAAGCGUUAUCCGGAUUCACUGGGUUUAAAGGGUGUGUAGGCGGAUAUUUAAGUCAGUGGUGAAAUCUCCAGGCUCAACCUGGAAACUGCCAUUGAUACUAUUUAUCUUGAAUAUCGUUGAGGUAGGCGGAAUAUGUCAUGUAGCGGUGAAAUGCUUAGAGAUGACAUAGAACACCAAUUGCGAAGGCAGCUUACUAAACGAUUAUUGACGCUGAGGCACGAAAGCGUGGGGAUCAAACAG